GGAACCUGCGGAGAGAUCAUUACCGAGUCUCUCGCCCCCCCCUCCGGGGGCAGAUCUACCAACCCCCGUGUCAUCGUGACUCCUAAGCUUUGGCGGGCCGCGCCCCCACGCGCCGCCGGCCCCCCCAACCCCGACCGUCCGUGUCGUCCGAGUGAAGCGAAAUCGUGAAAACUUUCAACGGUUCUCUUGGUUCUGGCAUCGAUGAAGAACGCAGCGAAAUGCGAUAAGUAAUGUGAAUUGCAGAAUUCAGUGAACCAUCGAAUCUUUGAACGCACAUUGCGCCCCCGGGCAUUCCGGGGGGCAUGCCUGUUCGAGCGUCAUUGACACCCUCUCACGCGUCGCGUGGUCUUGGGCAUCCCGGGCACGCCUGGGCUCCCCAAAGGUAGUGGCAGUGCCGCCACGGGCUCCGCGUAGUACGACCCUUGCGUCAGCCCGCCGGCGGUCCUGGCCAGCGAUCCCCCCCACUUCAAGCUUGACCUCGAAUCAGGUAGGGAUACCCGCUGAACUUAAGCAUAUCAAUAAGCGGAGGA
Molecule: ribosomal RNA, 530 nt
Filed under: Cyttaria hariotii
Lineage: Eukaryota; Fungi; Ascomycota; Leotiomycetes; Helotiales; Cyttariaceae
Description: eukaryotic LSU rRNA
Rfam family: 5.8S ribosomal RNA (bases 170-320)
Source: RNAcentral